AUUGAACGCUGGCGGCAGGCCUAACACAUGCAAGUCGAGCGGAUGAAGGGAGCUUGCUCCUGGAUUCAGCGGCGGACGGGUGAGUAAUGCCUAGGAAUCUGCCUGGUAGUGGGGUAUAACGUCCGGAAACGGGCGCUAAUACCGCAUACGUCCUGAGGGAGAAAGUGGGGGAUCUUCGGACCUCACGCUAUCAGAUGAGCCUAGGUCGGAUUAGCUAGUUGGUGGGGUAAAGGCCUACCAAGGCGACGAUCCGUAACUGGUCUGAGAGGAUGAUCAGUCACACUGGAACUGAGACACGGUCCAGACUCCUACGGGAGGCAGCAGUGGGGAAUAUUGGACAAAGGGCGAAAGCCUGAUCCAGCCAUGCCGCGUGUGUGAAGAAGGUCUUCGGAUUGUAAAGCACUUUAAGUUGGGAGGAAGGGCAGUAAGUUAAUACCUAGCUGUUUUGACGGUACCAACAGAAUAAGCACCGGCUAACUUCGUG
RNAcentral lists this ribosomal RNA (484 nucleotides) under uncultured bacterium. RNAcentral describes it as "partial 16S ribosomal RNA". It matches the Rfam family "Bacterial small subunit ribosomal RNA", at positions 30 to 507 of the family's 1533-position model. The record is from RNAcentral.